This 2322-nucleotide ribosomal RNA is filed under the name Aliarcobacter butzleri. Its description in RNAcentral is "partial 23S ribosomal RNA". It matches the Rfam family "Bacterial large subunit ribosomal RNA", at positions 1 to 2321 of the family's 2925-position model. Lineage: Bacteria; Pseudomonadati; Campylobacterota; Epsilonproteobacteria; Campylobacterales; Arcobacteraceae. The record is from RNAcentral.
UAAUAAGCUAUUAAGGGCUAAUGGUGGAUGCCUAGACUGUAAGAGGCGAUGAAAGACGUAUUAGGCUGCGAUAAGCCUCGGGGAGCUGCCAAAGAGCUUUGAUCCGGGGAUUUCUGAAUGGGGCAACCCAAUAUAAUGAGAAUUAUAUUACCCUACGGGGAGCGAACCUAGUGAAGUGAAACAUCUCAGUAGCUAGAGGAAGAGAAAUCAAACGAGAUUCCCAAAGUAGCGGCGAGCGAAAUGGGAUUAGGACAAACCCAAUGCUUGCAUUGGGGGUUGUAGGACCAUGAUAUGAGACUAAAGAGGAUAGAUGAAAUACUUGGAAAAGUGUAGCAUAGAAGGUGAAACUCCUGUAAUUAAAAUUCUCAAUAGCUCUAAUGGUAUCCUGAGUAGGUCGGAACACGUGAUAUUUUGACUGAAGCCGGGGGGACCACCCUCCAAUCCUAAAUACUACUUACAGAUCGAUAGUGAACAAGUACCGUGAGGGAAAGGUGAAAAGUACUCCAGCGAGGAGAGUGAAAUAGAACCUGAAACCAUUAGCUUACAAUCAUUCAGAGCCCUAUGAUUUAUCAGGGUGAUGGACUGCCUUUUGCAUAAUGAGCCUGCGAGUUGUGGUAUCUGGCAAGGUUAAGUCAAGUACGAAGCCGUAGCGAAAGCGAGUCUUAAUAGGGCGAAUUAGUCAGAUGCUGCAGACCCGAAACGAAGUGAUCUAUCCAUGAGCAGGUUGAAGCUGGUGUAAGAGCCAGUGGAGGACCGAACCCGCAGGCGUUGAAAAGUCUUGGGAUGACUUGUGGAUAGGGGUGAAAGGCCAAUCAAACUUCGUGAUAGCUGGUUCUCUCCGAAAUAUAUUUAGGUAUAGCCUUGUGUUGUAGCAUAUGGGGGUAGAGCACUGAAUGGGCUAGGGCUGCUUACCGCGGUACCAAACCCUAUCAAACUAUGAAUACUAUAUGUGGAAUCACAGGAGUCAGGCGGUGGGUGAUAAAAUCAAUCGUCGAGAGGGGAACAACCCAGACUAACAGCUAAGGUCCCUAAGUUACAUCUAAGUGGAAAACGAUGUGGAGUUACUGUGACAACCAGGAGGUUGGCUUAGAAGCAGCCAUCCUUUAAAGAAAGCGUAACAGCUCACUGGUCUAGUGAUUCUGCGCGGAAAAUAUAACGGGGCUAAGAUGUACACCGAAGCUUUAGAUUCAAUUUUUAAUUGAGUGGUAGGAGAGCGUUCUAUUCAGCGUAGAAGAUGUACCGGUAAGGAGCGUUGGAGCGGAUAGAAGUGAGCAUGCAGGCAUGAGUAGCGAUAAUUGAGGUGAGAAUCCUCAACGCCGAAAACCCAAGGUUUCCUACGCGAUGCUCGUCAUCGUAGGGUUAGUCGGGACCUAAGUCGAGUCCGAAAGGGGUAGACGAUGGCAAAUUGAUUAAUAUUUCAAUACCAACAUAUAAGCGCGAUGUGGGGACGCAUAGAGUUAAUCGAGGUCACUGAUGGAAUAGUGGCUCGAAGGACGUAGGCUGUUAAGUAGGCAAAUCCGCUUAACAUUAGGCCGAGAUCUUACAGGCUCUUGACACUCUUCGGAGGAGAUGGAGAAUCGAUGAUACUGUCGUGCCAAGAAAAGCCACUAAGUUUAUUAUAUGUUGCCCGUACCGUAAACCGACACAGGUGGGUGGGAUGAGUAUUCUAAGGCGCGUGGAAGAACCCUGGUUAAGGAACUCUGCAAACUAGCACCGUAUCUUCGGUAUAAGGUGUGCCUACUUUUGUAUAUGAACUUGCUUCAAAAAGCGAAAGAGGUUGCAACAAAGAGUCCCUCCCGACUGUUUACCAAAAACACAGCACUUUGCUAACACGUAAGUGGAUGUAUAAGGUGUGACGCCUGCCCGGUGCUCGAAGGUUAACUGAUGAUGUCAGCGCAAGCGAAGCAUUUGAUUGAAGCCCGAGUAAACGGCGGCCGUAACUAUAACGGUCCUAAGGUAGCGAAAUUCCUUGUCGGUUAAAUACCGACCUGCAUGAAUGGCGUAACGAGAUGGGAGCUGUCUCAACCAGGGAUCCAGUGAAAUUGUAGUGGAGGUGAAAAUUCCUCCUACCCGCGGAAAGACGGAAAGACCCCGUGCACCUUUACUACAGCUUGACACUGUAGCUUGGAUAUUCAUGUGCAGGAUAGGUGGGAGGCUAUGAUGACUAGACGCCAGUAGAGUCGGAGCCAUCCUUGAGAUACCACCCUUGAAUAUUUGAGUUACUAACUGCGUACAAUUAUCUUGUAUCAGGACAAUGUCUGGUGGGUAGUUUGACUGGGGCGGUCGCCUCCUAAAAAGUAACGGAGGCUUACAAAGGUUAGU